This 8107-nucleotide long non-coding RNA is filed under the name Zea mays. RNAcentral describes it as "long non-coding RNA (ZMAY_LNC002195)". The record is from RNAcentral. Lineage: Eukaryota; Viridiplantae; Streptophyta; Magnoliopsida; Poales; Poaceae.
ACAGAUACACCACCGUCCAGCCUCUUGCCACGGAGGGUACACGCUACUCUCGCCACCGCUCCACGCCCAUUUCGUGUUAUCUUAUUCUGGCCUUAGUCUUCCCGAGGCAAGGCUUACCCAUGACGAGGCAUGUGACCAGUUAAAGGGUCCUCGAUCAGCACGCCUACAUACACGUUCAAUCCUUAAUCAACCUGGGUAGAACAUCACCUGUUCCUAACCCAAGUCUCAAUUUAAGUAUUCCCAUCCUUAGGAUUGUUUCUGUUCCUUAGGAUGAGAAGAGCAUCAUAGGGAACUUUACAGUAAGAUCCCACCAUUGCUCCAAAUGAAAAUAUUCUUGCAGGUAGAAGUCAUCCUUUCUCGAGCUAGGCUAAGGACAACCUCUAUCCACAAGAUCUGAGCAAGGCUAAGCAUUUUUGUAAAUCAUAUUUUGAUACUUCACUGAAGUAUCUAUAAAGGUAUGGAUAUCAAGGAAAGCAAUGCAUCAAAGGGUUCCAAGCAACUCCUAUGAACCUAAUGCACAUUUCAUUAGACUUAAAGUGUGCGAAAAUUAUUUAAAAACACAAGGAAAGGGUUGCAUGCACCGGGGCUUGCCUUCGUUAGUAGGUGAGUCAGGCUCGGACCCGCAGAUGUCGAAGUAGAGCCAAGUCCCUGCCUGAGAUUCCAAAGGUGGUGGUGUCUUCUCUUCAGUCACUUCACUCUCUUCUUCGUUUUCUAAAUAUAACCAUAUAGGUAUAUAUAUAAGAAUGAAUGCCAUGUAAUGCUUAUGAGAGUGCAUAGAUAAUAAAGGUUUAUUAACUAAGUUUUGAAUACAACUUUCCUUCACGGAACUCCGAGAACUUAGGGUUUCCGGAGUCAGUAAAGGAGUUCAAAGGGCAGGGGUAGGGUUUGGGUUAUAAGUAUCAAACAAUGUCCAAAUCAUAUCAAACUCUACCCAAGGUCUCAUAAUAUUGUUGAGAGAUUACCCUAAAAAUUUAGUGAAUUUUGGAUUUAUUAUAUAAUCUCUAAAAAUUCAGAAACAUGGUUUUUGGAUGAUUUAAAUACUCUAUAAUUUCCUAUUUGGACUAAAAAUCAUGAAACUAUUUUUAUUAAAUUCUAUAGGAAAUUAGAAGCCCAUUAAAAUUGGUUUGGUAUUUUUAUCAUUUUUCUUGAAUUCUUUAUGGAUUUCUCAACUUUCUUAGAAAAAGAAAAAGAAAAACGUUCAAUAGUAUUGGGCCAAAUUGUGCCCAACCGGCCCAGUUUAAGCAGAUUACAGGGGCGCGCCCGCGGCAGCGCAGCCUGUUUUGCAUAAAAGUCCUUGCCAGAGUUAAUAUUAGGAACGAAGUCCUCAACUGAACUCUGCGAGUCACUGACAUUUUACUUCUGGCCCCUUCUAGGUUUCUCGUCUUUACAACGUGAGUCCCUAACGUCGCCGGCGGCGCGGACGCAUUCCCACCGCGACACAACGGCGGAGGAGAGCCCGGGCAGCCGUUGGAUAGCGACCAGACCAAAUCCUAACCUACCCCGAGCAUCUAUAGGCAUGGAUUUGACUCACUAACUUACAGAGUGCCAUGACCACGUUCAAGGCGGGAGCCCAGUACCGCGACGUUCACCCAAAUGGCUCCGGCACAGGAUGUUUCAAAUUGAGGGCACAUGGAGCACGAGUAGGGUGCGGGAAACACGACGCUCACAAGAAUUGCCCCUGGGCCAACUGAACUUUGAGUGGGUCAUCACCUGGACAGUUCACGCGGUGUCAAGCCCGUGUUCCGACCAAACCAAGACCGUAAGGACCAAACGGACUUCUCGGUGAGCUUCACCAAGGUACGGGGAUGCUAGAACAUCAGCUUGUGGGGGUUAAGACAUACCACAGUCGUCUGGCCACGUGAAGCCGAGGUGUUGCCGGGGUGGUCAUCAAAUAAGUUUGGUGCCUUGAUCGAUGGAACUUGGGUGUGUCUAGGGUAUGAUUUGGGGGUGUAGUACUACUAAUCAUGGCUGCUCAACAUGGUUGAUGGUGAACUAAGGAUCACUGGUUGGGUUUCUACCUUUCCCUCCCCAGUUGCUCUUUAUAUAGGCAGGGAAAAGAUCACAGGGGUUGGAUGCUUGAACUUGCAGCAAGGACAGCUAUGAACUCUAAAUGCAGUCGUGGCUUCCUCCAGUAAAUCCACGCCAACACAUAGAGCCUAGCUACGCAGGGUGGAGAUUAUCCAUGGGCAAAAGAAAAGAGGGGGUAAGGAUGAGGUGCACUGUACAGGAUAUUUGCACAGGUGAUAUUUCAGGGAUGCACCAAUCUGAAUACCCUUGCCAGCACACCAUCCCAAUCUUCAUCCUAUUCCAAAGUUGGUCACGGCAAGAAAAACUGAACUUGGUCACUUCUAGCAGCCAAAUAUCUGAUUUGUCCCUUUCUGUAGAUAGUAAACCAACAGAUAAGAAUUCUAGUGUGUGCAGACUUAAAUGGAUCCAAACUGAUAUUUCUAAAGGGAUGAAGCCACUAGAACUGCUGCUGUCCAGCAUACCCCAUUAAAGAUUCAUUAGAUGAGGACCCCCUCUCAUUCACUGCUCACAAAAUAGGUCAAAAUUUGGAUAUUUUUUAGUAGAUCUGAGGCCACUAGAUCCCUGGCUCUGGACUUCGACCUUAUACCUACCCAAACAUCCAAAGAAACCAGCAGGGAGAGGAGAUAAUCUUCUUCAGAAACUGUCUUCAGUCCUAAACGAAUUACUGUUGCUUAGCUGGACUGACAGGGGCCUUUCAAGGUCAUUCCCUUACAUUUUCCCUGUAGCAACACCUUAAUUUAAUCAUAGGAAACUUGCUCAUUGACUAUAGCUCUUCAACCCACUACAGCAUUCCACUGCUAGAAACACAUGGAUCACAAACUAUAAGGUUCCAAAGCCAAGCACACACUCUGAAACUCUUCUUCAGAGAGCUGAACUCAAAUGCAACCCUUUAAGUCUGACAAGGCAUAUUAGAGAGCAUUUUACUCACAAUUCCAUAUGACAACAGACCCAUCUCCCUUAACAAGCCUUAUUCUCCAACCAUAGGUCUUCCACUUUGGUACAACACUCCAAAGCUGAAACUACUCAGAAUUGAAGUUGUGGUGUUCCAAAUUAUAGCAGAAACAGUCAAACACUCGGUCUCAGCUUAACUGAACAGCCCUCACUAUUUCUGACAGAGGACGUUACAGCUCCAUUAUCUCUCAAUCUUUACAUAACAACAGGACCAUCUCCUUGCAUGAAACUUGUCCAUCUAUAUCUGGUAUCCAACUUUUCUAUAGAAACUAUAGUCUAAAACUACUCAUAUUGAUCACAAAACAGCUCCAAAUUAAGCAUCCUAUACUGAAAUUCAGGUUUCAGAGACUGAACCCAAAGCAGUUGGAACCAGCCUGACAGUCCAAUUUUGAGCCACUUUUACUCCUUUUUCUGUGUAGCACCAAACCAAACUCACUUAAAGAAAUUUGUUCUCCUAUAUAUGGUCUUCCAUUUUGAUAUACAACUCUUGGUCUAAAACCAUAUAUAUUAAUCACAACUGAGCUCCAAACAGAGCAUCAUUGGCUGUUUUUCAGAGUUUCAGCUCUGAACCACUAAGUCACCAAUAUACUGACAGUCCAUUUUUAGGCAAGCUUUACUCCAAAUUUUGCAUGGGGUCAUGUCAAACUCACUUAAUAAAACUUGUUCACCAUCAUAUGGACUUCAACUUCUCUAUAAACACCAUAGUCCAAAGUUCUAUGGUUUAGCCACAAAUGAGCUCCAAACAGCAUACUCAACACUGAAACUCCACUCACUUCACUAUUCACUAUCUGAAAUUCCAUGAGUCUGUCAACACUUCUUUGGACCACCUUUUCUGCUGGUAGCAUAUACUUUUAAGGCAAAGUUGCUUAACAAAUUUUGUACUUCAAUAGUUCCUCUACAAUUUCUAUAUAGUGACCCUUAGCUAAACCCUUUUGGAUUCCACUCUACCACAACCCAAAGUUUGCACAAAAUACUGAAAUUCAGACUGUAUUUUAUUAAGUUUGAACCCCACACUUUCCAGCAGCUCUACUUUAGACCAGUUCUUCUCCAAAUUCCAUAUAGAUUUAAGGCUAGGUUACUCAAUCAAAGUCACACUCCUCACAUAGCUUUAUAAUUUUUUUACAAUGACUACCUUCAAAAUGUUUAUAGAUCAGAAGUUAUAAAGGACCAAAACUUCCUAGUUGCUACUAUUUUCAGCAAUUCCAAUCUGAGCUCAAAACUGAACUUUGAUGAUUUACUCCAAUUUUCUUCACACAACAUGGGAAUCUCCAAAUAAGAAAUUCAUUCACUUUUUCAAGCUCCACAACUUUGAUAUAUGGACUUUUGUCAAAUUACUUCUAGAUUUUGAAUUCCUCUUUUGGGCUAGUUUUAGUGUUUCACAUGUUCUUCAUUUUCUUCAAGUGUUUCUUCCACUUGCUCUACCUUUGAAAACAAGGUUGCCAUAAACUCUAGGACUUGCCUUUAGCACUUGAAGUUUCCAAGUCAAUUUGUUAUUUGCUCAAGAGUUGACCUACUCUUGUCUAGCUUAAGCCAAGUCCUUAAACUAAACUCUAACAACACACAACAUCACACUGUUUGAAAAAAAAUUAACCUAGUGAAUGCAUUCUAAGUGUAACAAGCACAUUAAUGCAGAUGCUUAUGAUGACAUGUCGGAGUUUUAGUUUACGUAACACCAGAGGUGUUACAACCUUCCCCCCUAAAAAGAAAUCUCGUCCCGAGAUUUAAAAGUCUAGGCUUAGUAAUGGAAAAGGAAACGUGUCACGGACUUAUUUCCUAAUUUCUCUUACAAGGUAGGGGAGGUGUUUUGUUUUACUUAACCACGAUGUUGUUCAACACCUCUAAGGCAGUUACCUAAGCUCCUUCCCAAGGAGUCAUUCCUUUAGAAUGGAACAUCCAAUGUGGCCAAGAUGGUUUUCUAGCACGUUCUGGAAUACGCACUACUACUCAUACCAUGGUUGUCCUCUAAGAAUAGUGUGCGACAACAUUUCUCUAAGGGGGAAAUCUUUUAUUAGCAUAGUUCUUAGCAUGAUGCAUGUAUAAUUACAGAAUCAACCUUAGUUGAUUCAACCUUCUAUGCAUUACACUCUUCCUAUCUGGUCUUUAAAAUAAACUCUUCAGAAACACUUAGGUAAGAAGGGAAGAAAUUUUUUAGAUAAGUCUUUAGAAAAUUCUUUUUGAAGAUGCCUCAUAAUAUCUGCAGAGAUGGGCUUCGCUCCGAUACCAGCUGUGACGGAACCUCCCAAGUAAUUAGGCCCACCUACAGUUGUCCUUGUCCAACAGACAUCAGACAACCCUGUAGAUGUUCCUGAAUCACUUGACAAGUUCGGUAUCUUCUUUUCUCACCUUUCCCAAGAGCGUUUCACCCGUCUUGCAGACAUUACAGAACAUCGGAGAUAUAGAAAUGCGGAAGCAAUUAUAUAAACUUACAUUUAUUUAGAAAGUAAGAUCAAGUUAUUUAUUACAGACCAGAGUUAUAAAACGAGUGCAGGGUAGUAUUAUUACACAUACCAGGGGAGGCAAAAACUCCUCCCGAUAACUAUCAAACAAAGGUUCUUAUGGAGGACCACGUCCUCCCGCAUCUUCACUCUUGUUUUUCUUCAUUUGACACCACCUUGGAGCAAAAGCAACAAAAAUUUGUCGCUUCCUCACCUAAAAACAACGGAGGGAUAAACCCUGAGUAUGGAAUUACUCACCAAGUCUUACCCGACUAAGAAAAAGACUCUCAAGGGUAUGCUGGAUAAUUAGGAAUCAAGGAGAGGCUUUAGCAAAAAUCAACUUAGAUACUUUUGCAGAAAUAGCUUACUAAAGUGAGUCCUUACUUUCAAUAUUUUAACACCAUAUUAAGUAUUAAUAGACUCUAUUUGCAUCUAGUCUAAUUUCACCAUCUCAUCAAUACAACAUCAUUUUUAUUCAUAAUGUUCACAUCCUGACUUAGGUUGUAGGGAAGUGACCAAGUCUUCAUAACCGCGAAGGUACGGCGAUCUGAAUCGAUUAUACUCAGCUGAGGAUCUCCAAUCACACGACAUAUGUAGCACUUAACCCUUGCAUAUGUCAACCCGCCACCGGGGUUCUUAAGACCAGAUCAGGUUCACGCAAACCGAGAGCACAGAUACACCACCGUCCAGCCUCUUGCCACGGAGGGUACACGCUACUCUCGCCACCGCUCCACGCCCAUUUCGUGUUAUCUUAUUUUGGCCUUAGUCUUCCCGAGGCAAGGCUUACCCAUGACGAGGCAUGUGACCAGUUAAAGGGUCCUCGAUCAGCACGCCUACAUACACGUUCAAUCCUUAAUCAACCUGGGUAGAACAUCACCUGUUCCUAACCCAAGUCUCAAUUUAAGUAUUCCCAUCCUUAGGAUUGUUUCUGUUCCUUAGGAUGAGAAGAGCAUCAUAGGGAACUUUACAGUAAGAUCCCACCAUUGCUCCAAAUGAAAAUAUUCUUGCAGGUAGAAGUCAUCCUUUCUCGAGCUAGGCUAAGGACAACCUCUAUCCACAAGAUCUGAGCAAGGCUAAGCAUUUUUGUAAAUCAUAUUUUGAUACUUCACUGAAGUAUCUAUAAAGGUAUGGAUAUCAAGGAAAGCAAUGCAUCAAAGGGUUCCAAGCAACUCCUAUGAACCUAAUGCACAUUUCAUUAGACUUAAAGUGUGCGAAAAUUAUUUAAAAACACAAGGAAAGGGUUGCAUGCACCGGGGCUUGCCUUCGUUAGUAGGUGAGUCAGGCUCGGACCCGCAGAUGUCGAAGUAGAGCCAAGUCCCUGCCUGAGAUUCCAAAGGUGGUGGCGUCUUCUCUUCAGUCACUUCACUCUCUUCUUCGUUUUCUAAAUAUAACCAUAUAGGUAUAUAUAUAAGAAUGAAUGCCAUGUAAUGCUUAUGAGAGUGCAUAGAUAAUAAAGGUUUAUUAACUAAGUUUUGAAUACAACUUUCCUUCACGGAACUCCGAGAACUUAGGGUUUCCGGAGUCAGUAAAGGAGUUCAAAGGGCAGGGGUAGGGUUUGGGUUAUAAGUAUCAAACAAUGUCCAAAUCAUAUCAAACUCUACCCAAGGUCUCAAAAUAUUGUUGAGAGAUUACCCUAAAAAUUUAGUGAAUUUUGGAUUUAUUAUAUAAUCUCUAAAAAUUCAGAAACAUGGUUUUUGGAUGAUUUAAAUACUCUAUAAUUUCCUAUUUGGACUAAAAAUCAUGAAACUAUUUUUAUUAAAUUCUAUAGGAAAUUAGAAGCCCAAUAAAAUUGGUUUGGUAUUUUUAUCAUUUUUCUUGAAUUCUUUAUGGAUUUCUCAACUUUCUUAGAAAAAGAAAAAGAAAAACGUUCAAUAGUAUUGUGCCAAAUUGUGCCCAACCGGCCCAGUUUAAGCAGAUUACAGGGGCGCGCCCGCGGCAGCGCAGCCUGUUUUGCAUAAAAGUCCUUGCCAGAGUUAAUAUUAGGAACGAAGUCCUCAACUAAACUCUGCGAGUCACUGACAUUUUACUUCUGGCCCCUUCUAGGUUUCUCGUCUUUACAACGUGAGUCCCUGACGUCGUCGGCGGCGCGGACGCAUUCCCACCGCGACACAACGGCGGAGGAGAGCCUGGGCAGCCGUUGGAUAGCGACCAGACCAAAUCCUAACCUACCCCGAGCAUCUAUAGGCAUGGAUUUGACUCACUAACUUACAGAGUGCCAUGACCACGUUCAAGGCGGGAGCCCAGUACCGCGACGUUCACCCAAAUGGCUCCGGCACAGGAUGUUUCAAAUUGAGGGCACAGGGAGCACGAGUAGGAUGCGGGAAACACGACGCUCACAAGAAUUGCCCCUGGGCCAACUGAACUUUGAGUGGGUCAUCACCAGGACAGUUCACGCGGUGUCAAGCCCGUGUUCCGACCAAACCAAGACCGUAAGGACCAAACGGACUUCUCGGUGAGCUUCACCAAGGUACGGGGAUGCUAGAACAUCAGCUUGUGGGGGUUAAGACAUACCACAGUCGUCUGGCCACGUGAAGCCGAGGUGUUGCCGGGGUGGUCAUCAAAUAAGUUUGGUGCCUUGAUCGAUGGAACUUAGGUGUGUCUAGGGUAUGAUUUGGGGGUGUAGUACUACUAAUCAUGGCUGCUCAACAUGGUUGAUGGUGAACUAAGGAUCACUGGUUGGGUUCCUACCUUUC